Non-coding RNA from Schistosoma haematobium, 48 nucleotides. Lineage: Eukaryota; Metazoa; Platyhelminthes; Trematoda; Strigeidida; Schistosomatidae. The record is from Rfam.
AUCCAGCUGACGAGUCCCAAAGAGGAUGAAACACGCGUCGAACUGGAU